RNAcentral lists this ribosomal RNA (125 nucleotides) under Clostridium oryzae. Lineage: Bacteria; Bacillati; Bacillota; Clostridia; Eubacteriales; Clostridiaceae. The record is from RNAcentral.
CGACAUGACUAUAGAGUAAAUGUUACACUCGUACCCAUACCGAACACGAAGGUUAAGCUCUACAUCGCCAUGGUAUGGCUUUGUGGAAAUUUUUUUUCUUAUAACAAUACUUGGUUUUAUAGUGA